AUUGAACGCUGGCGGCAGGCCUAACACAUGCAAGUCGAGCGGAUGAAGGGUGCUUGCUCCUGGAUUCAGCGGCGGACGGGUGUGUAAUGCCUAGGAAUCUGCCUGGUAGUGGGGGAUAACGUCCGGAAACGGGCGCUAAUACCGCAUACGUCCUGAGGGAGAAAGUGGGGGAGCUUCGGACCUCACGCUCUCAGAUGAGCCUAGGUCGGAUUAGCUAGUUGGUGGGGUAAAGGCCUACCAAGGCGACGAUCCGUAACUGGACUGAGAGGAUGAUCAGUCACACUGGAGCUGAGACACGGUCCAUGCGCCUACGGGAGGCAGCAGUGGGGAAUAUUGGACAAUGGGCGAAAGCCUGGUCCAGCCAUGCCGCGUGUGUGAAGAAGGUCUUCGGAUUGUAAAGCACUUUAAGGUGGGAGGAAGGGCAGUAAGUUAAUACGUUGCUGUUUUGACGGUACCAACAGAAUAAGCACCGGCUAACUUCGUG
Molecule: ribosomal RNA, 484 nt
Filed under: uncultured bacterium
Lineage: Bacteria
Description: partial 16S ribosomal RNA
Rfam family: Bacterial small subunit ribosomal RNA
Source: RNAcentral